RNAcentral lists this ribosomal RNA (468 nucleotides) under uncultured bacterium. Its description in RNAcentral is "partial 16S ribosomal RNA". It matches the Rfam family "Bacterial small subunit ribosomal RNA", at positions 28 to 507 of the family's 1533-position model. The record is from RNAcentral.
GACGAACGCUGGCGGCGUGCUUAACACAUGCAAGUCGAACGGCAAGGCCCUGCUUUUUUGGUGUUCUCGAUUGGCAAACGGGUGCGUAUCACGUGUGUAUCCUGCUCUUCACUUUGGUAUAACUUCAGGUAACUGGGGCUACUACCGGAUAGGAUCUCCUGCUGCGUUGUGGGGGUUGGAACGUUUCGGCGGGUGGGGUUGGACUCGCGGCUUAUCAGCUUGCUGGUGGGCUAGUGGCUUACCAAGGCUUUGAAUGGUACCCGGCCUGAGAGGGUGACCGGGGACAAUGGGACUGAGAGACGGACCAGACUCGAACGGGAGGCAACAGUGGGGAAUAUUACACAAUGAGAGGGAGUGUGAUGCAAAGGCGCCGCGUGUGGGAAGACGGUCUGCGGGGUGAGAACAGCAGUCGGCUGUGACGAAGCGGGAGUGACGGUAAUGGGUAAAGAAGCACCGGCUAACUACGUG